AUAAAUGUAAUCACUUCUCUGAUCAUGAAAAGGGAGGUGUGUGUUGAUUUGUGGGUCUCUUACUACAACUCCUCUGUGUUUCUGUUCCUAGCGUCCCAGUGCAGUGUCCUCCGGGAAGCGUCUCUAUGCCACUGUGGUGCGUAAACACAGCAUCCUACACAGACAACCCUGCUUCUCCUUCACGGCCUUUGAGAUGGAAAGGGAUUCCCUUGACUUGCCGUCACAUGAUGCUCUCUCAAGGACACUGCCAGAGUAUCUUCCCCUCCUCAAAAAGACCAAAAACUCAGAAUCUGUCCCACAGAAAAAGUCUCAGCUCAACCAAACAUUUGAUGUUCAUUCAGCUCUCAAAAGUCCACCAAUACCUGAUUUUGAAGAUGACCCUCGUGCAGGUGAAGUCACUGAACAUCAAACUAAAGUGAGUAACAAAACUGUAGAUUUCUAUUAUGUCUAUUACUGCUAGACGUUUCCCAGAAGUCUUGUGUUUCCGCGAAAAGUUUUUCAUUCUUCAGAACCAGACUUUUAGCUACUGGCACAAAUACUGGUUCACUUUCCAUCUUCGCUCCAGAAGUUGUGAGUGAUAAAAAUGUCUUUCUAGGGCCGAACAAUAAUCUCUUAACUGAUUCACAC
RNAcentral lists this long non-coding RNA (627 nucleotides) under Carassius auratus (goldfish). RNAcentral's name for it is "lncRNA (ENSCARG00000070280.1)". The record is from RNAcentral. Lineage: Eukaryota; Metazoa; Chordata; Actinopteri; Cypriniformes; Cyprinidae.